GAUGAACGCUGGCGGUAUGCCUAAUACAUGCAAGUCGUGCGGAAAGGCCUCUUCGGAGGUACUCGAGCGGCGGACGGCAGAGUAACGCGUAGGAACAUACCCCCAAACUGAGGGAUAACUGCUCGAAAGAGUAGCUAAUACCGCAUGUGGUCUUCGGACUAAAGCUUCGGCGGUUUGGGAAUGGCCUGCGUUCGAUUAGCUAGUUGGUGAGGUAAUUGCUCACCAAGGCGACGAUCGAUAGCUGGUCUGAGAGGAUGAUCAGCCUGACUGGAACUGAGACACGGUCCAGACUCCUACGGGAGGCAGCAGUAGGGAAUUUUCCACAAUGGGCGAAAGCCUGAUGGAGCAAUACCGCGUGCAGGAUGAAGGCCUUCGGGUCGUAAACUGCUUUAUGUGAGAAGAAUUUGACGGUAACACAUGAAUAAGGGUCGGCUAACUACGUGCCAGCAGCCGCG
RNAcentral lists this ribosomal RNA (455 nucleotides) under uncultured bacterium. RNAcentral describes it as "bacterial SSU rRNA". It matches the Rfam family "Bacterial small subunit ribosomal RNA", at positions 28 to 519 of the family's 1533-position model. The record is from RNAcentral.